Molecule: long non-coding RNA, 496 nt
Filed under: Nicotiana benthamiana
Lineage: Eukaryota; Viridiplantae; Streptophyta; Magnoliopsida; Solanales; Solanaceae
Description: long non-coding RNA (NBEN_LNC010487)
Source: RNAcentral
ACCAAUAAGGAAAAGAUAUCAAUCAAUCAGUCAGUUAGGGCUUAAUAAGAAUCAAUUAAUAGUCAGAAUCAUGGAGGCAUCGCUUAAAAUAAUAUGGAAUAAAUCAGCAGCCGAUAUUGAGGUCUCAAUAAGGUAAGUAGUAGGUCUAGAAGUCAAUUAAAAGUCAGAACACAAAAUCGGGCCAAUACCAAGGAUAAUUAAUCACAUAAAUAAGUUAAACAGGUAAAAAUAUUACAAAGGAGAUGCAGGUACUAAGUUCAAGCCCUAAUUUGGGUAAUAAUAUCAAUUAACAUUUAAUUGACAGGAUUAAAGGUAAACGAGCAAAACACAAUAGGAUAGGCAAUCAAACAUUCAAAACCCUAAAAACACAAAGAGAUAUACAUGUAGUUGGAUUAAAUCAAGAAAAAAAUCGGUCGAAGAGUAAAUAAGAAAAUCAGAGAUGAGAACAUUUUAAGCGCUAAAACCUUUUUGUAGAAAUCCCUCAUAAACCAAAAAC